AACGAACGCUGGCGGCAUGCCUAACACAUGCAAGUCGAACGAGACCUUCGGGUCUUGUGGCGCACGGGUGCGUAACGCGUGGGAACCUGCCCUUAGGUUCGGAAUAACUACCCGAAAGGGGUGCUAAUACCGGAUAAGGUCUUCGGACCAAAGAUUUAUCGCCUUUGGAUGGGCCCGCGUUGGAUUAGCUAGUUGGUAGGGUAAAAGCUGACCAAGGCGACGAUCCAUAGCUGGUCUGAGAGGAUGAUCAGCCACACUGGGACUGAGACACGGCCCAGACUCCUACGGGAGGCAGCAGUGGGGAAUAUUGGACCGUGGGCGAAAGCCUGAUCCAGCAAUGCCGCGUGAGUGAUGAAGGCCUUAGGGUUGUAAAGCUCUUUUACCCGGGAUGAUAAUGACAGUACCGGGAGAAUAAGCUCCGGCUAACUCCGUG
This 433-nucleotide ribosomal RNA is filed under the name uncultured bacterium. RNAcentral describes it as "partial 16S ribosomal RNA". It matches the Rfam family "Bacterial small subunit ribosomal RNA", at positions 29 to 507 of the family's 1533-position model. The record is from RNAcentral.